This 406-nucleotide unclassified non-coding RNA is filed under the name fungal sp. Its description in RNAcentral is "partial internal transcribed spacer region". The record is from RNAcentral. Lineage: Eukaryota; Fungi.
GAGAACCAAGAUAUCCAUUGUUAACAGUUGUACGUUUUCCUCUACCACGGCGCACUUGCUAUGUGGUAGAGGCCUAAUUUAACUUGGUCGUCGUAAAGGGGCACUACACCCUGCAGUCUGUCCGCUUCGGCGUGUGAUACACCGGCGAUGGAGAAGCCUUACCCUAGAAACCGUCUAGCGACACUUUCAUCCGCCCGGCCAGGACUCCAGACUGGCGAUAGAAGGCUCAAACUGCCUGCUCGUAACAAGGUUUCCGUAGGUGAACCUGCGGAAGGAUCAUUAACACGUAUCCAACGUUAAACCCCCCGUGCACCUUCACAGAGCGCGCUGCUCCUCUCGACGUCAGCAAUCCUGGUAAAUCAGUGGCGAAAGUAGUCUUUGAUUCAGGACCUCUGAAGUUGUACUU